UACGUAGGGUGCAAGCGUUGUCCGGAAUUAUUGGGCGUAAAGAGCUCGUAGGCGGUUUGUCGCGUCUGCUGUGAAAACUCGGGGCUUAACCCCGAGCCUGCAGUGGAUACGGGCAGACUAGAGGUAGGUAGGGGAGAAUGGAAUUCCCGGUGUAGCGGUGAAAUGCGUAGAUAUCGGAAGGAACACCGGUGGCGAAAGCGGCGCGCUGGAUCUCUUCUGACGCUGAGGCGCGAAAGCCAGGGGAGCGAACGGG
Molecule: ribosomal RNA, 253 nt
Filed under: uncultured bacterium
Lineage: Bacteria
Description: partial 16S ribosomal RNA
Rfam family: Bacterial small subunit ribosomal RNA
Source: RNAcentral